Molecule: ribosomal RNA, 525 nt
Filed under: uncultured bacterium
Lineage: Bacteria
Description: bacterial SSU rRNA
Rfam family: Bacterial small subunit ribosomal RNA
Source: RNAcentral
AGGGUUUGAUCAUGGCUCAGGAUGAACGCUAGCGGCAGGCUUAACACAUGCAAGUCGAGGGGUAACAGAAAAAAGCUUGCUUUUUUGCUGACGACCGGCGCACGGGUGCGUAACGCGUAUGCAAUCUACCUUUUGCUAAGGGAUAGCCCAGAGAAAUUUGGAUUAAUACCUUAUAGUAUGGUGACUUGGCAUCAAGAUAUCAUUAAAGGUUACGGCAAAAGAUGAGCAUGCGUUCUAUUAGCUAGUUGGUGUGGUAACGGCAUACCAAGGCAACGAUAGAUAGGGGUCCUGAGAGGGAGAUCCCCCACACUGGUACUGAGACACGGACCAGACUCCUACGGGAGGCAGCAGUGAGGAAUAUUGGACAAUGGAGGCAACUCUGAUCCAGCCAUGCCGCGUGCAGGAAGACUGCCCUAUGGGUUGUAAACUGCUUUUAUACAGGAAGAAACACCUCUACGUGUAGAGAUUUGACGGUACUGUAAGAAUAAGGAUCGGCUAACUCCGUGCCAGCCGCCGCGGUAAUAC